Molecule: ribosomal RNA, 458 nt
Filed under: uncultured bacterium
Lineage: Bacteria
Description: partial 16S ribosomal RNA
Rfam family: Bacterial small subunit ribosomal RNA
Source: RNAcentral
CCUACGGGGCAGCAGUGAGGAAUAUUGGUCAAUGGGCGAGAGCCUGAACCAGCCAAGCCGCGUGAAGGAUGAAGGAUCUAUGGUUUGUAAACUUCUUUUAUAUGGGAAUAAAGUGAGGAACGUGUUCCUUUUUGUAUGUACCAUAUGAAUAAGCAUCGGCUAACUCCGUGCCAGCAGCCGCGGUAAUACGGAGGGUGCGAGCGUUAUCCGGAUUUAUUGGGUUUAAGGGGUGCGUAGGUGGUUAAUUAAGUUAGCGGUGAAAGUUUGUGGCUUAACCAUAAAAUUGCCGUUGAAACUGGUUGACUUGAGUAUAUGUGAGGUAGGCGGAAUGCGUGGUGUAGCGGUGAAAUGCGUAGAUAUCACGCAGAACUCCGAUUGCGAAGGCAGCUUACUGGACUAUAACUGACGCUGAGGCACGAAAGCGUGGGGAUCAAACAGGAUUAGAUACCCUGGUAGUC